CAGCAGAACUUGAAAAUGGGUGGCUCCGUGUUCUUAAUGGCUGGCCCAUCUGCAAUAGUUAUAUUUCUUCUCCGGGGCUCUGCUUAUCUCCUGAUUUAUACAUUUUUCCUAUGUGUUAAGAUGUUUUCUUCGUUUGUAGAAGGACUUGCUUAUGGGAGCCUGGUAGAUUAAAGCAGAAACGUCACUCUAGUUUUUGCACAGCUUGCUGUGUGUCACAUUAUUAUGGAGUGCUUUUCAAAAUAGGAGAUUUUUAGUGCGAUCCUCUGCUCUGUCACAUUAUUACGGUAGUAGUGCAAAUGAUGGAUUCGUCUGAGCAUGCUAUUGGAGUUGAAUUGGGGAACGGAAGUAAAUCUACAUAUACCGAUAUCUUCAAGUCACUUGGCUCCGGUGAAACCAUUUCGGGCGGUGCACUGCAAUUGUGACUGUAGUUAGCAGUGCUGCCGAUAGAAUCAUCAUGAAGACCGGACCAUAAAGAACGAAUGGCUGGAUCAAAGGAUUUAGCGGUUGGAAGUGGGAACCUGGCAGAAGUGGAGCAUCUGGGUGUGGCUUAUAAUAUUGAUUGUGGUGGGUGCCAUUAUUGGAAGCAUCAAAGCUAACAAUGGAUCCAGGACUCCAGGGCUUUUACAUAUGCAUGGCAACCUUUGUGGCUCUUAUAGUCCUACAUUAUGACCUUCGUCAUGGUUGCCUUUAAAGCCCUUCUCUACCAGCCAGAAUGUUGAAAUAUGCUUAACUGGAGGAACUGGAUUCUUGUUUGUAAGUGCACACUAACGUAAACUAUCUUAUGCUUAUGAAUUUGAGAUCUUUAUGAUCCCUUACCACUAGGUUACCGUGGAGAUGGUUAGCUAAAACUCUCCAAGUGCUUGAUGAAAAUUUUAAGCUAGUCACCAGAAUAGUAUUUAUGCUCAAUGACACCCAAAUUAAAGUGAUAUGGACCUCAAUGUUUGCUCAUACUUAUCUUACAGUGAUAAUGUCAACUCGAGGUAAAGUGUGUGAGAAACAGGUUGCCUAAUAAGGCUCACUGAGUACCGAAUUUAGGCCCAUGAAAUCUUAAAGUGGCAUGCCACCUCUAGUAUUUGGUGAUGCUUCUUUACACAUUGAUUACAAUCAUACAGUUUUGUUAAUCCUUUAAGGUUUCUUGAAAAAGCUUGGUGAUUGCUUGUUUAAAAACAAUGGACCCAAAUGGUACCUCAUUAUUAGUCCCGAAUACAUGUUUUGAAGGCCUGAUGCAUGACUGAUAGCUGAUUUAAAGGCUUGAUUUUUGGGUAGCGUAUGUAAACAUUUGGUGCUUUGGAGAUGAUGGUUCAAAGUACUGAGUCUAGUCAGAUAGCUUAUAUCAUACCUUUAUGGAAAAACAUACCAUCCUUGUGUGGAAGCAGCAAGGUUGGAUCAAGUGGUUAACACCCUUGCCUCUGGAAACAGAGGUCAUGGGUUCUAUCCUCAUCCCUUGCAAGGUUGGAGGUCCUUUUCUAUCUUUAGAUAGAACUUGGAAGCAGCCUCUCUACACUGUUGUUGUAGGGGUAAGGCUGUCUACAUCUUAACCUCCCCCAUAUACCGUCGAGGUAUUGGGACCCAAAACCUGUGGAAGACUGCAUUGGGGGCGUUACUUUUUAUACCAUCCUUGUGUGGGUUGUAUUGUAUCUAAGUUGAAGAUUUUGAUCAAGUCUGAUAACUGGUCAAUGAACUUUACAACACCACAUAGCAGGUUUUCUUUCUUAUCCUUUUUAUUUGUCAAGCAAGUUCUUUUCCUUCUGCUAUCUGUGUUCGUCAUUUCCGAUGGUUUAAUUAGGGAUCAAAUUAUUCUUGAAAAUGGGUGAUUUAUGAAAUGUUCAUUAGCUUUUCAUCAUCUAGUACAUAUCAAGAUUACUUGCUGAGAAGGUUUCUUUUUUUUUUUCUUUUCAGAGUCGAGCUUGCAAUGUGGUGGGAAUGACAAUGGGAUAAGUAUCCUGGAUUGUAACAAACUUUGGACGAAUGUCUAAAGUAGGAAAUAACUAAAGUUUUGU
Erigeron canadensis is the source of this 2000-nucleotide long non-coding RNA. RefSeq lists it as uncharacterized. The record is from RefSeq and is a predicted model, not a curated record. NCBI's taxonomy places the organism in Eukaryota, Viridiplantae, Streptophyta, Magnoliopsida, Asterales, Asteraceae. The transcript is spliced from 5 exons.